This 71-nucleotide transfer RNA is filed under the name Salmonella phage Arash. It matches the Rfam family "tRNA". Rfam says of the family: Transfer RNA (tRNA) molecules are approximately 80 nucleotides in length. Their secondary structure includes four short double-helical elements and three loops (D, anti-codon, and T loops). The record is from Rfam by way of RNAcentral. Lineage: Duplodnaviria; Heunggongvirae; Uroviricota; Caudoviricetes.
GGGGGUUUCGUCUAGUGGUAAGACGAUGGCUUCCAAAUCCAUUAACCGGCGUUCGAUUCGUCGAGCCCCUG